AUUGAACGCUGGCGGCAGGCCUAACACAUGCAAGUCGAACGAGUGGCGGCCGGGUGAGUAAUUUCUGGGAACCUGCCCGAUGGAGGGGGAUAACUACUGGAAACGGUAGCUAUUACCGCAUACCAUCGGAUGUGCCCAGAUGGGAGUAGCUAGUAGGUGGGGUAACGGCUCACCUGGGCGCCGAUCCCUAGCUGGUCUGAGAGGAUGACCAGCCACACUGGGACUGAGACAGGGGCCAGACUCCUACGGGAGGCAGCAGUGGGGAAUAUUGCACAAUGGGCGCAAGCCUGAUGCAGCCAUGCCGCGUGUAUGAAGAAGGCCUUCGGGUUGUAAAGUACUUUCAGCGAGGAGGCGUUACUCGCAGAAGAAGCACCGGCUAACUCCGUGCCAGCAGCCGCGGUAAUAC
RNAcentral lists this ribosomal RNA (406 nucleotides) under uncultured bacterium. Its description in RNAcentral is "partial 16S ribosomal RNA". It matches the Rfam family "Bacterial small subunit ribosomal RNA", at positions 30 to 526 of the family's 1533-position model. The record is from RNAcentral.